Molecule: ribosomal RNA, 459 nt
Filed under: uncultured bacterium
Lineage: Bacteria
Description: partial 16S ribosomal RNA
Rfam family: Bacterial small subunit ribosomal RNA
Source: RNAcentral
CCUACGGGAGGCAGCAGUGAGGAAUAUUGGUCAAUGGGCGGGAGCCUGAACCAGCCAAGCCGCGUGAGGGAAGAAGGUCCAGCGUAUCGUAAACCUCUUUUGUCAGGGAACAAAGCCGGGCACUCGUCCCCGGAUGAGGGUACCCGACGAAAAAGCAUCGGCUAACUCCGUGCCAGCAGCCGCGGUAAUACGGAGGAUGCGAGCGUUAUCCGGAUUUAUUGGGUUUAAGGGGUGCGCAGGCGGCCUGUUAAGUCAGCGGGAAAAGCCCGGGGCUAAACCCCGGAGAGCCGUUGAAACUGGCGGGCUGGAGUGGGAGAGAGGUACGCGGAAUGCGCGGUGUAGCGGUGAAAUGCUUAGAGAUCAUACAGAACACCGAUUGCGAAGGCAGGUUACCGGGCUGCAACUGACGUUGAGGCACGAAAGCGUGGGGAGCAAACAGGAUUAGAUACCCGUGUAGUC